UAUGAAUAAGUACAGUUGGGUUUCUUUUUCAAAUAAAAUUCACCCCGACCAGUAGACUAAGAAGAAAGAAGGCAACCUGUACGAUACGAACAUUGCAGCCCUUUUGCCACGCAGUCACGGCACAGCAAGGCCAUCUCCCACGAGAUGUCAAACCCUCCCAGCAACAUGUCGCGAACCGCAGCCUGCGUGCGAUUCCGAAGCGUGCCCGCCACCGGCACCGUCCCUGCGGUAGCGCAGCUCUUCCGAAGAGCGGCCACCGUCACAUGUCCCACCACCGCAUGCAAGUACUCUUUGGAGGAGGAAGAAUGAUCGACACAAGAGGCGAUGGGGAUAUAUGAAGGAUCGCCCUCCAAUGAUGCGGGGCAAGUCACGAACGUGACGCUGGUGUCGCUCGCUAGGUCGUAGGGACCGCCAUACGAGAAUUUCCCCGGAGGCAGGAAGGGUAGAGACCGCGGGGAGCAGCUCGCGGGAUCGAGGUCGGCGAGGACGACGCGGGCCACCUGGUCCUCGUAGGAGAUCUUCUCCACGUAGUACUUGGUCGAGUACAACUUCAAGACGGCUCGGUUCUGAUCACAUG
This 577-nucleotide long non-coding RNA is filed under the name Phoenix dactylifera (date palm). RNAcentral's name for it is "long non-coding RNA (PDAC_LNC016151)". Lineage: Eukaryota; Viridiplantae; Streptophyta; Magnoliopsida; Arecales; Arecaceae. The record is from RNAcentral.